This is a regulatory RNA element of Rubellimicrobium thermophilum DSM 16684, 40 nucleotides long. It matches the Rfam family "L2-Alphaproteobacteria ribosomal protein leader". NCBI's taxonomy places the organism in Bacteria, Pseudomonadati, Pseudomonadota, Alphaproteobacteria, Rhodobacterales, Roseobacteraceae. The record is from Rfam.
GGGGACCUUCGGGGCCCUUGUACAUGACGGAAGACAGGAA